RNAcentral lists this ribosomal RNA (385 nucleotides) under uncultured bacterium. Its description in RNAcentral is "bacterial SSU rRNA". It matches the Rfam family "Bacterial small subunit ribosomal RNA", at positions 28 to 414 of the family's 1533-position model. The record is from RNAcentral.
GACGAACGCUGGCGGCGUGCUUAACACAUGCAAGUCGAGCGGUAAGGCCCUUUCGGGGGUACACGAGCGCCGAACGGGUGAGUAACACGUGGGUGACCUGCCCUCAGCUCUGGGAUAAGCCUGGGAAACCGGGUCUAAUACUGGAUAUGACUCCAUGACGCAUGUUGUGGGGUGGAAAGCCUUGUGCGGCUGAGGAUGGGCCCGCGGCCUAUCAGCUUGUUGGUGGGGUGAUGGCCUACCAAGGCGACGACGGGUAGCCGGCCUGAGAGGGCGACCGGCCACACUGGGACUGAGACACGGCCCAGACUCCUACGGGAGGCAGCAGUGGGGAAUCUUGCGCAAUGGGCGAAAGCCUGACGCAGCGACGCCGCGUGAGGGAUGACGG